This 1534-nucleotide long non-coding RNA is filed under the name Panax ginseng (ginseng). Its description in RNAcentral is "long non-coding RNA (PGIN_LNC001711)". Lineage: Eukaryota; Viridiplantae; Streptophyta; Magnoliopsida; Apiales; Araliaceae. The record is from RNAcentral.
AUUUAUGGAGUUGUAGAUGCUACGAAGAAUGUGGCAAUAUGCUAAUCUGAGCCUUCAGUAUAUUUCCAGUAUAUGUAUGCAUCUAGUUGAAACAACUAAUUGUUCGAAAAAUGUUUCUUCUGAAUUAUGAUGAAUUUUUUAAAUACCUUGUAGUCUCAUUCUUAUUCUUCCAAGCAAGGCAAAAAGAUUGAAUUGACUUGCAAAAUUAUGAAUGUUUGGUGAAGGUGGCUGACUUAAAAGUUGAAUUUGAUACUUAACUUUCUGUUCACUGACAAUAUCUGAUCUGCGCUUGUAAAUAAAUCAUAUUUUAUGAUUUAAUCAUUUUUAAUUUUUUAUAUAUAAUUCCUAUAUCUUUUUCUAUUAUUUUGUAUUUUCUCUGUUGUCAUUUGAUAAUAUAUUUUCUAAUUUAUAUCUUCCUACUAUAAGCUAUAUCAAAUAUGAACGCAACGUGUAUCUUGCAUUUUUUUUGCUGUCUUGUGGCUUGAUGUUUAGAAAUGAUCAUAGGAAAUUGUUUGUACUCACUUCGUGUUUAUCAGUAUAUGAAUAGUAGUAGUCAAAACAUUCUUCUUGUUGAACUUUGUUUAUUUUUAAAAGUUUUCAUGUAACUUUAGCAUGAUCCAACAUAAUAAUCUUAUUUACCCAUUUUUCUGUGCUUUAGUUUUACGUACUGUUUAUUUAUGUGUUGAAUGAAGUGCAUAGAUUCUACAAAAUUAAACUCUGUAUGGAAUGUCUGGAUGCAGAUUGGUUUAGAACAUUGGCAAGAGCUGCUAUAACUUUUUGUGCUCUCGUGGUUGUGAUCUAAGGUUGUUGGUUCCAGGAAGAAUGUGCCAGUAUGCUGAUACACUGUUGUGAAAAGGAAAUAUGUAGUUUGUUUGUGCAUGUGAAUAGAUCUUUCUUAUGUCUGUAUUUCUUAGUGAAAAGCUAGUGUGCAUAGGUAUGAAUAUUCAAACGGCAUGGUUCAAAAAUAUGUCUGUGGCCUGCAUUCAUGCUUAGGGCAUUCACUUAUGUUUAUUUGGAUGUGUGUAAUAUUUUUUACCUGUUUGUGGUCCAAUGGGAACUCGAAGGAGAAGGUAUUCAGAUGUGUGAUUAAAAGUGCCUGUUUACUUUUAAUAUUCCCUUUGGUUGUGGGGAUGUGUUUACAGCAAAGGAAGUUUGGAUAUGCCGUGAUGCCAGAAGGAAAAGUUGGACAUACUGAUGAAGCUCUACCCCUUUGAAACCAGAACCAGCCUUCGAAAAGUGGUAGCAAGAUAAUGAAAAAUAGACAUCCUCAUGUCUGCAAAACUGGGAUAAGGAACAAGAGGCUGCUUAAUUAGCAGCAAGGCAGAGGCACUCUUUUUGGGUAAGCAGGAAGUUGGAUCCUAGAAUUGGUCUUUUUAUGAUUGACUAUGUUGUUAGAUCUUAAACCUGGUUUUGGUCUUGUACAGGACACCAAUAUUUUACAUGGUUUCUUUUCUCAAUCUUGAAAUUGUCUUUUCUUUUAGUUUAUGCUGUUAUCUUCUCAUUUUAUUUUAAUAAAAGCCUCUGUUUAUUUCUA